Molecule: ribosomal RNA, 536 nt
Filed under: uncultured bacterium
Lineage: Bacteria
Description: bacterial SSU rRNA
Rfam family: Bacterial small subunit ribosomal RNA
Source: RNAcentral
AGGGGCAGCGGUGGUGAAGGCUUGCCUUUACCUUUCGGCGACCGGCGCACGGGUGAGUAACACGUAUGCAACCUGCCUGCCACAGCCGGAUAAUCGGGAGAAAUUCCUUCUAAUACGGCAUAAUGCACCUAUGGGACAUCCUGUUGGUGCCAAAGGUUAAUUCCGGUGGCGGAUGGGCAUGCGUCGCAUUAGUUAGUUGGCGGUGUAACGGACCACCAAGACGACGAUGCGUAGGGGUUCUGAGAGGAAGGCCCCCCACACUGGUACUGAGACACGGACCAGACUCCUACGGGAGGCAGCAGUGAGGAAUAUUGGUCAAUGGGCGGGAGCCUGAACCAGCCAAGUCGCGUGAGGGAUGACGGCCCUAUGGGUUGUAAACCUCUUUUGCCUUUUUUUUAUAGCGCCCCACGUGUGCGGUUUGGAGAGUACCCGGAGAAAAAGCAUCGGCUAACUCCGUGCCAGCAGCCGCGGUAAUACGGAGGAUGCGAGCGUUAUCCGGAUUUAUUGGGUUUAAAGGGUGCGUAAGCGGACGCUUA